Molecule: ribosomal RNA, 517 nt
Filed under: uncultured bacterium
Lineage: Bacteria
Description: partial 16S ribosomal RNA
Rfam family: Bacterial small subunit ribosomal RNA
Source: RNAcentral
GACGAACGCUGGCGGCGUGCUUAACACAUGCAAGUCGAACGGGCUUCUGGGGUUCUGGCUUUUUUGGUUGGGGUUCUGGGGGUUAGUGGCGAACGGGUGAGUAACACGUGAGUAACCUGCCCUUCACUUCUGGAUAACCGCUUGAAAGGGUGGCUAAUACGGGAUGUUUCUGGGUCUGUCGCAUGGCGGGUUCGGGAAAGAUGGCACUGUUUGGUGUUUUUGGUGGGGGAUGGGCUCGCGGCCUAUCAGCUUGUUGGUGGGGUGAUGGCCUGCCAAGGCUUUGACGGGUAGCCGGCCUGAGAGGGUGGGCGGUCACACUGGGACUGAGAUACGGCCCAGACUCCUACGGGAGGCAGCAGUGGGGAAUAUUGCACAAUGGGCGGAAGCCUGAUGCAGCGACGUCGCGUGAGGGAUGGAGGCCUUCGGGUUGUGAACCUCUUUCGCCAGUGAGGAGGGCCUUGCCCGUGUGGUGGGGUUGACGGUAGCUGGGUUAAUUGAAGCGCCGGCUAACUACGUG